GACGAAGGGGGCUAGCGUUGUUCGGAAUUACUGGGCGUAAAGCGCGUGUAGGUGGUUGUCCAAGUUGGAUGUGAAAGCCUUGAGCUCAACUCAAGAAAUGCAUUCAGGACUGAGCGGCUGGAGUGCCGGAGAGGAACGCGGAAUUCCUGGUGUAGCGGUGAAAUGCGUAGAUAUCAGGAGGAACACCAGUGGUGUAGACGGCGUUCUGGACGGUUACUGACGCUGAGAUACGAAAGCGUGGGGAGCAAACAGG
RNAcentral lists this ribosomal RNA (253 nucleotides) under uncultured bacterium. RNAcentral's name for it is "partial 16S ribosomal RNA". It matches the Rfam family "Bacterial small subunit ribosomal RNA", at positions 524 to 776 of the family's 1533-position model. The record is from RNAcentral.